This 329-nucleotide unclassified non-coding RNA is filed under the name soil metagenome. RNAcentral's name for it is "partial contains 5.8S ribosomal RNA, internal transcribed spacer 2, and large subunit ribosomal RNA". The stretch from base 1 to 120 matches the Rfam family "5.8S ribosomal RNA", at positions 35 to 154 of the family's 154-position model. The record is from RNAcentral.
GAUGAAGAACGUAGCGAAAUGCGAUAAGUAAUGUGAAUUGCAGAAUUCAGUGAAUCAUCGAAUCUUUGAACGCACAUUGCGCCCCCUGGUAUUCCGGGGGGCAUGCCUGUCUGAGCGUCAUUACAACCCUCAAGCUCAGCUUGGUGUUGGGCCCCGCCGCCCCGGCGGGCCCUAAAGUCAGUGGCGGUGCCGUCCGGCUCCGAGCGUAGUAAUUCUUCUCGCUCUGGAGGUCCGGUCGUGUGCUCGCCAGCAACCCCCAAUUUUUUUCAGGUUGACCUCGGAUCAGGUAGGGAUACCCGCUGAACUUAAGCAUAUCAAUAAGCGGAGGA